GUGCCAGCCGCCGCGGUAAGACGAACCGUGCAAACGUUGUUCGGAAUCACUGGGCUUAAAGGGCGCGUAGGCGGUCGAUCCAGUCCGGGGUGAAAUCCUGCAGCUCAACUGUAGAAGUGCCUUGGAUACUGAUCGGCUCGAGGGAGGUAGGGGUCAUUGGAACUUCUGGUGGAGCGGUGAAAUGCGUUGAUAUCAGAAGGAACGCCGGUGGCGAAAGCGAAUGACUGGACCUCUUCUGACGCUGAGGCGCGAAAGCCAGGGGAGCAAACGGGAUUAGAUACCCUUGUAGUCC
Molecule: ribosomal RNA, 292 nt
Filed under: uncultured bacterium
Lineage: Bacteria
Description: partial 16S ribosomal RNA
Rfam family: Bacterial small subunit ribosomal RNA
Source: RNAcentral